This 230-nucleotide ribosomal RNA is filed under the name uncultured bacterium. RNAcentral describes it as "partial 16S ribosomal RNA". It matches the Rfam family "Bacterial small subunit ribosomal RNA", at positions 57 to 305 of the family's 1533-position model. The record is from RNAcentral.
GCAAGUCGAACGGAGAACCUAGCUUGCUAGGGGAUCAGUGGCAAACGGGUGAGUAACACGUGGGAAUCUGCCCGAUAGUACGGAAUAGCCGUUGGAAACGACGAUUAAUACCGUAUAUUCUCUACGGAGGAAAGAUUUAUCGCUAUCGGAUGAGCCUGCGGCGGAUUAGCUAGUUGGUGGGGUAAUGGCCUACCAAGGCGACGAUCUGUAGCUGUUCUGAGAGGAAGAUC